Molecule: non-coding RNA, 30 nt
Filed under: Mus musculus (house mouse)
Lineage: Eukaryota; Metazoa; Chordata; Mammalia; Rodentia; Muridae
Source: RNAcentral
UGUCAUAAGAGCCAGGUUAGGUUCCUAGCA